Molecule: long non-coding RNA, 367 nt
Filed under: Phoenix dactylifera (date palm)
Lineage: Eukaryota; Viridiplantae; Streptophyta; Magnoliopsida; Arecales; Arecaceae
Description: long non-coding RNA (PDAC_LNC004361)
Source: RNAcentral
UAAAGCCCAUGAGGUAUUAAAGUAAACAUCCACAGCUCUCGAAAUCCUGCAGAAAAGAUGAUUUUGAAUCAGCAAAUAGGUCUUGUCCGACCAAUUCUUGGAAACUACUAAUAUUAGCGAUAUUUUGGAGAUCCAAAACCUUAGCUUGUGCAUGGUCCAAACUUCACUGAGCACUCAAGUAUAAAUAAGUUUUACAACUCCCUAACGGAAAACUUAAUGACUUCAACUUAAAUUGCAUACUAACCUAGAAUUUGGGCUACUUAGUAAUUAAAACCUUGUGUGCUUUUGAAAUUCUUAUCAGUUAUUUACUUGAAAUUAGACUUUCAUUUCAUAAACCAAAUUUUAUUUUGGGAUUGAAGUUUGUGGG